GAGGAAUAUUGGACAAUGGAUGGAAAUCUGAUCCAGCCAUGCCGCGUGCAGGAAGACGGCCCUAUGGGUUGUAAACUGCUUUUGUAUGGGAGCAAUAAGGUCUAUGCGUAGACUGAUGAGAGUACCAUACGAAUAAGCAUCGGCUAACUCCGUGCCAGCAGCCGCGGUAAUACGGGGGAUGCAAGCGUUAUCCGGAUUUAUUGGGUUUAAAGGGUGCGUAGGCGGUUUGAUAAGUCAGCGGUGAAAUAUUUCAGCUUAACUGAAAGGGUGCCGUUGAUACUGUCAGGCUUGAAUAUGGUUGCUGUGGGUGGAAUGUGUGGUGUAGCGGUGAAAUGCUUAGAUAUCACACGGAAUAUCGAUUGCGAAGGCAGCUCACAAAGCCAUUAUUGACGCUGAUGCACGAAAGUGUGGGGAUCAAAC
RNAcentral lists this ribosomal RNA (420 nucleotides) under uncultured bacterium. RNAcentral's name for it is "bacterial SSU rRNA". It matches the Rfam family "Bacterial small subunit ribosomal RNA", at positions 356 to 773 of the family's 1533-position model. The record is from RNAcentral.